UUCCAGACUCCUACGGGAGGCAGCAGUGGGGGAUAUUGCACAAUGGGGGAAACCCUGAUGCAGCGACGCCGCGUGGGUGAAGGAGCACUUCGGUGCGUAAAGCCCUAUCGGCAGGGAAGAAAAGGGGGAAACCCCAGACGGUACCUGACUAAGAAGCCCCGGCUAACUACGUGCCAGCAGCCGCGGUAAUACGUAGGGAGCGAGCGUUGUCCGGAAUUACUGGGUGUAAAGGGAGCGUAGGCGGGACUGCAAGUUGGGUGUCAAAUCUACCGGCUCAACCGGUAGCCGCACUCAAAACUGCAGUUCUUGAGUGAAGUAGAGGCAGGCGGAAUUCCUAGUGUAGCGGUGAAAUGCGUAGAUAUUAGGAGGAACACCAGUGGCGAAGGCGGCCUGCUGGGCUUUUACUGACGCUGAGGCUCGAAAGUGUGGGGAGCAAACGGGAUUAGAUCCCCCGGUA
This 457-nucleotide ribosomal RNA is filed under the name uncultured bacterium. RNAcentral describes it as "bacterial SSU rRNA". It matches the Rfam family "Bacterial small subunit ribosomal RNA", at positions 329 to 792 of the family's 1533-position model. The record is from RNAcentral.